Molecule: long non-coding RNA, 518 nt
Filed under: Brassica rapa (field mustard)
Lineage: Eukaryota; Viridiplantae; Streptophyta; Magnoliopsida; Brassicales; Brassicaceae
Description: long non-coding RNA (BRAP_LNC003768)
Source: RNAcentral
GCCAAUCCACUAAUUGCCAAUUGGUUUUGAGUUGGAAGCCCAUAAUAAACCCAAAUCUAACAUGGUAUCAGAGCGAUAAGAUCCUUUGACCUAAUUUACUACUACUACUACUACUGUACCGAUGUUGGGCCCUCUGUGGAUGUUAUUCCCACAUUGUCCACGCUUCAGACCUAGAUGUCUGAGCGUGAGGGAGGGUAUUGAUGAGAAACAUCCCACAUCGGAUAUAUAAGAAUUAAUCUACUACUAUAUAAAGGGUUAAGGCCAAUCCACUAAUUGCCAAUUGGUUUUAAGUUGGAAGCCCAUAAUAAACCCGAAUCUAACAUGGUAUCAGAGCGAUAAGAUCCUUUGACCUAAUUUACUACUACUACUACUACUGUACCGAUGUUGGGCCCUCUGUGGAUGUUAUUCCCACAUUGUCCACGCUUCAGACCUAGAUGUCUGAGCGUGAGGGAGGGUAUUGAUGAGAAACAUCCCACAUCGGAUAUAUAAGAAUUAAUCUACUACUAUAUAAAGGGUUA